CAAUAGCGUAUAUUAAAGUUGUUGCGGCCAAAAAGCUCGUAGUUGGAUUUCUACCGAAGAUAGCCGGUCGGGUCUUCGACCUUGUAUCUGGUUUUGUCUUUGGUAUCCUCAUAGGGAACGUUUCUGCGCUUUAUUGCGUGGUGCGGUAUCUAUGACUUUUACUUUGAGGAAAUUAGAGUGUUCACGGCAGGCAAACGCCUUGAAUAUAUUAGCAUGGAAUAAUAACAUAGGAUCUUCGUCCUAUUUUGUUGGUUUCUAGGGCUAAGAUAAUGAUUAAUAGGGAUAAUUGGGGGCAUCUGUAUCAACGCGUCAGAGGUGGAAUUCUUGGAUUGCGUUGCGACAAACUACUGCGAAAGCAUUUGCCAAGGAUGUUUUCAUUGA
RNAcentral lists this ribosomal RNA (381 nucleotides) under uncultured eukaryote. RNAcentral's name for it is "partial 18S ribosomal RNA". It matches the Rfam family "Eukaryotic small subunit ribosomal RNA", at positions 592 to 976 of the family's 1831-position model. The record is from RNAcentral.